GCGGGAUUAGCUCAUUUGGUAGAGCGAGUCAUUGACGUUGACUAGGUGGCAGGUUCGAAUCCUGCAUCCCGCA
RNAcentral lists this transfer RNA (73 nucleotides) under Parcubacteria bacterium C7867-003. RNAcentral's name for it is "tRNA-Val". It matches the Rfam family "tRNA". From Rfam's summary of the family: Transfer RNA (tRNA) molecules are approximately 80 nucleotides in length. Their secondary structure includes four short double-helical elements and three loops (D, anti-codon, and T loops). Lineage: Bacteria; Candidatus Parcubacteria. The record is from RNAcentral.